Molecule: long non-coding RNA, 511 nt
Organism: Sinocyclocheilus anshuiensis
Lineage: Eukaryota; Metazoa; Chordata; Actinopteri; Cypriniformes; Cyprinidae
Exons: 3
Source: RefSeq, a predicted model, not a curated record
CCUGCUGAACAUCACGCGCUCUGAGAACUUACGCUUUCUGAUUCUACACGGGACAGCAGAUGCGAACGUUCAUUUUCAACACACUGCAGAACUAGUGAAGCUGCUGUCUGUGAUUAACAUCAACUACAGGUUACAGAUCUUCCCCGAUGAGGGUCAUGAUGUCAUCAGCAGGCGCUACAUACUGCACUCACUCGUCUCCUUCUACAAAGACUGUUUUAUUGAAAAUCUACCUGUUCCAGUGGAAACCAGUGACGACGACUAGGAAAUCGACUUGUGACCCGUCUGCUGUCAUUUGUGCCGAUCCGACCUGAACAAAGAGACAGAGCAUUGAGUCUGAGGACACGCUUCAAAUACUUUGAUUUCUUAUUUAUGCUUUUCAUCAUUUGUUCACACAAGCAUUAGUCUGUAUUUAACAGCAGCGUGACUGAUGUAGUGUCACUCUAAACAAGUUGAAAGAAAUCACUGUCAUUAAAAACAUCAAGUAUUAUGGACAAUAUGGUUAUUAAUUAUA